Molecule: long non-coding RNA, 649 nt
Organism: Hippopotamus amphibius kiboko
Lineage: Eukaryota; Metazoa; Chordata; Mammalia; Artiodactyla; Hippopotamidae
Exons: 5
Source: RefSeq, a predicted model, not a curated record
ACAAAACCAAAACAACAGAAGAUGUUACGAUUCUAGAAGGUUAAGCAUGAUGUGAUAGCUUUGUGUUUAUUUUUGCCUUCAUAUGGAUGUUCAGAAAAGUUAUUUAGAGCAUAAAUUUUAUUCUUGUCAUCCUUUUUCAGAAGCUAAAACUUUAAGACAGUGAAAGAUCAAGUGAUUUGCAUAUUGUAACAUUAAAGGACUCCAGUUCUGGCUACUUUGCGCUGACAGGUAAAUACACUGGGGCUACAGGCACUGAAAAGAAAAAAACCAUGGAGUCAGUUUUACAUAUAAAGGAGACACAGAGAACUCCCUGCAGAAGGAAAAAAAGGAAGGAAAGUUUCAAAGACUAAUUGUGGGCUGUAGUUUAUUAAUUGGAGUGAAUGUCUUGUGUGCACUGGGACAUCCAUUCCUGGGCCCACAUGGUAAUGCCUCUUUGCCAAGGGCUGCAGACUCCCAGCUUCCCUGUGGCUGCCUGGCUCUGUUUCACAUGGUGCUAAGAGCUCCGAAUCCCUGUCUCCAGCCACUCUGAGGUUUAAGUCAUGGGAGAGUAACUCAUGCUCCGUGUGGAGAAAGGAGCCUACAAAAGCAAAAAUGCCCACAGCAUUUCCAGGAACCACGGAAGUCUUCAUGCAGCCCUCGUAAUGAUGAC